AUACGUAGGGGACAAGCGUUGUCCGGAAUCACUGGGCGUAAAGGGCGCGUAGGCGGUUUUAUAAGUCAGAUGUGAAAGGUACCGGCUCAACCGGUGACGUGCAUUUGAAACUGUAAGACUUGAGUACUGGAGAGGCAAGUGGAAUUCCUAGUGUAGCGGCGAAAUGCGUAGAUAUUAGGAGGAACACCGGUGGCGAAGGCGGCUUGCUGGACAGAUACUGACGCUGAGGUGCGAAAGCGUGGGGAGCGAACAGGAUUAGAUACCCUGGUAGUCCACGCCGUAAACGAUGAUGACUAGGUGUUGGGGAAACUCAGUGCCGCAGUUAACACAUUAAGUCAUCCGCCUGGGGAGUACGACCGCAAGGUUGAAACUCAAAGGAAUUGACGGGG
RNAcentral lists this ribosomal RNA (389 nucleotides) under uncultured bacterium. RNAcentral's name for it is "partial 16S ribosomal RNA". It matches the Rfam family "Bacterial small subunit ribosomal RNA", at positions 523 to 918 of the family's 1533-position model. The record is from RNAcentral.